RNAcentral lists this ribosomal RNA (392 nucleotides) under uncultured bacterium. Its description in RNAcentral is "partial 16S ribosomal RNA". It matches the Rfam family "Bacterial small subunit ribosomal RNA", at positions 523 to 918 of the family's 1533-position model. The record is from RNAcentral.
AUACGGAGGAUCCGAGCGUUAUCCGGAUUUAUUGGGUUUAAAGGGUGCGCAGGCGGCCAUUUAAGUCAGCGGUUAAAUCGUGGGGCUCAACCCCAUUCUGCCGUUGAUACUGGGUGGCUUGAUUGCGGUCGAGGUUGGCGGAAUUCGUUGUGUAGCGGUGAAAUGCAUAGAUAUGACGAAGAACACCGAUUGCGUAGGCAGCUGACCAGACCGCAAAUGACGCUCAUGCACGAAAGUGCGGGGAUCGAACAGGAUUAGAUACCCUGGUAGUCCGCACAGUAAACGAUGAAUACUUGUUUUCGGCGAUAUAAUUUCGGAGGCAAAGCGAAAGCGAUAAGUAUUCCACCUGGGGAGUACGCCGGCAACGGUGAAACUCAAAGGAAUUGACGGGG